Vicia villosa (hairy vetch) is the source of this 529-nucleotide long non-coding RNA. RefSeq lists it as uncharacterized. The record is from RefSeq and is a predicted model, not a curated record. NCBI's taxonomy places the organism in Eukaryota, Viridiplantae, Streptophyta, Magnoliopsida, Fabales, Fabaceae. The transcript has 2 exons.
UAAAUCCACCGGCUAUCACCCUCUGAUCUUCUUCUCUCUCGCGGCCGUUUUCACGAAGAAAAUAUAAAACACAAACUCCCCACUCUGUCUUCAUCUCGAUUCGACUCUCUCGAUUUCUCUCUCAGUUUAUGCUCGCACGAAGUCAUGGAAGAAACUCAAACUCUCUCGAUUUUGUUAUGGGCAGUAGAUACAAAUCACAAAACGUUAGAAGAAAAUAAGCUAUGUAAAAUGCAUAAAGAAAACAACACUCGAACCCAGGGACUUGUCUUGCCAUUUUUGUGCAAGUUUUGGACAGUUAUGUGCAGCAGCAAGAAGCAGGUUUCUUGGAGUGUUAUGGCAUGGUGGAGAGGUAGCAGCAUGGCAUAGCAGGGACACGUGAAGACAAGAAAUUUGUAUUAUUUUGGUCUUUUCCGCUGAUGCAAAUACACUGAUGUAAAUGCAAAUGCAAAUUGAUGCAAAAAAACACUUUGGGCUGUAACUUAAUAAUUUUUGGUACAUCUUUGUAAAUUGGAGUUUUUUUGGACUGAUU